UAACAGGAAAGGCACAGUAAACAUCGUGUCCUCACCAUACUUAGACAGGGUGUGUCUGACACAACAAAAGAUAAUAAGAGACAGAACAGAUCACGGUAUGAACUACAGUCAACAGUCACUUUAUUAGGUAUAUCUUGCUAGUAACACCCCCUUUUGGCUUAAAAACUGCCUGAAUCCUUUCUGGCAUAGACUCAAUAAGGUGUUAGAGAUAUAUUGCACCACACUGACAUGAUAUCAUCACAUAAUUACUGCAGAUUUGUUGGCUGCACAUCUGAGAUUCGAAUCUCCUAUCCCAAAGGUGCUCUACUGCAUUGACAUCUGGUGACUAUGGAGUUUACCUGAGUACAGGGAUCUUGUCUCCCUCUGUUAAGUGGAUAUCAGCAGAUGCACCACUAAGUUUGGAAAUGGCACUCUUCAGUCCAGGUCCCUGUCAAUGGUCUCCAGCACAGGAUCAAUGAUGACAGCCUCCUUGGUGUCUGCGUCUGCCAGCAGGUAGGUAUAUGUGGAGCUCUCAGACUCAAACAGCUAAAUGUUG
Molecule: long non-coding RNA, 535 nt
Organism: Haplochromis burtoni (Burton's mouthbrooder)
Lineage: Eukaryota; Metazoa; Chordata; Actinopteri; Cichliformes; Cichlidae
Exons: 3
Source: RefSeq, a predicted model, not a curated record